UACGGGGGAUGCAAGUGUUAUCCGGAAUAAUUGGGCGUAAAGCGUCUGUAGGUGGUUUACCAAGUCUGUUGUUAAAAAUCAGGGCUCAACCCUGAUCCGGCAACAGAAACUAGUAGACUUGAGUACGGUAGGGGCAGAGGGAAUUCUCGGUGUAGUGGUGAAAUACGUAGAUAUCGAGAAGAACACCAAUAGCGAAAGCACUCUGCUGGGCCGUAACUGACAUUGAGAGACGAAAGCUAGGGGAGCAAAAGGG
This 253-nucleotide ribosomal RNA is filed under the name uncultured bacterium. RNAcentral describes it as "partial 16S ribosomal RNA". It matches the Rfam family "Bacterial small subunit ribosomal RNA", at positions 524 to 776 of the family's 1533-position model. The record is from RNAcentral.